UUUGGCGACUAAUUAUGAAGGGACUCAGAGAGGACUUCUCCCCUUCGCCUGAACUCUAUGGGGAUCCGGAGCCUUGGUACCAGCAGAGGCCUCUUGUGCCCAUCCACGUCCUCGGAGAGUCCAGACAAAUUUGGAACUGGGUCUGCUAUCUCAAGAAGAGACAAGUUAAUCUGAAGCCCCUAAAUUUCUCAUGCUGGUCUACUGACUAGAUGAGGAAAGUGAAACUCAGAGAUGAAAUGACUCAACUCCAAGCCCAGUUCAUCCCGUUACACUGUGUUGUCAACGUGUCUAAUAUAUUAGGCAGAAAGGUACUUAAAUGAAUCUUUUCCACUAUUUUUUUCCCCAAACAAAACCGAAAAGAAUAAUCUAUAUAUGGUAAAACAUGUUAAAUGCAAAAAG
Molecule: long non-coding RNA, 399 nt
Organism: Balaenoptera ricei (Rice's whale)
Lineage: Eukaryota; Metazoa; Chordata; Mammalia; Artiodactyla; Balaenopteridae
Exons: 3
Source: RefSeq, a predicted model, not a curated record